Molecule: ribosomal RNA, 491 nt
Filed under: uncultured bacterium
Lineage: Bacteria
Description: partial 16S ribosomal RNA
Rfam family: Bacterial small subunit ribosomal RNA
Source: RNAcentral
AUUGAACGCUAGCGGGAUGCUUUACACAUGCAAGUCGAACGGCAGCACGAAAAGAGCUUGCUCUUUUUGGUGGCGAGUGGCGAACGGGUGAGUAUGUAUCGGAACGUACCCAGUAGCGGGGGAUAACUACGCGAAAGCGUGGCUAAUACCGCAUACGCCCUACGGGGGAAAGGGGGGGAUCGCAAGACCUCUCACUAUUGGAGCGGCCGAUAUCGGAUUAGCUAGUUGGUGGGGUAAAGGCUCACCAAGGCAACGAUCCGUAGCUGGUUUGAGAGGACGACCAGCCACACUGGGACUGAGACACGGCCCAGACUCCUACGGGAGGCAGCAGUGGGGAAUUUUGGACAAUGGGGGAAACCCUGAUCCAGCCAUCCCGCGUGUGCGAUGAAGGCCUUCGGGUUGUAAAGCACUUUUGGCAGGGAAGAAACGGCGCUGACUAAUACUUGGCGCAACUGACGGUACCUGCAGAAUAAGCACCGGCUAACUACGUG